CCUACGGGAGGCAGCAGUGAGGAAUAUUGGUCAAUGGGCGCGAGCCUGAACCAGCCAAGUCGCGUGCGGGAAGACGGCCCUAUGGAUUGUAAACUUCUUUUGUACGGGAGUAAAACACGCUACGCGUGGCGUUCUGAGAGUACCCGAAGAAUAAGCAUCGGCUAACUCCGUGCCAGCAGCCGCGGUAAUACGGAGGAUCCGAGCGUUAUCCGGAUUUAUUGGGUUUAAAGGGUGCGGAGGCGGAAAGACAAGGCAGCGGUGAAAUGUUGGAGGGCAACCCGUGACGUGCAUUGGAAACUGGUGUUCUUGAGGGCGUGUGAGGUAGGCGGAAUGCGUGGGGUAGCGGUGAAAUGCAUAGAUAUCACGCAGAACUCCGAUUGCGAAGGCAGCAUACCGGCGCUCAACUGACGCUGAGGCACGAAAGUGUGGGUAUCGAACAGGAUUAGAUACCCCAGUAGUC
This 460-nucleotide ribosomal RNA is filed under the name uncultured bacterium. RNAcentral describes it as "partial 16S ribosomal RNA". It matches the Rfam family "Bacterial small subunit ribosomal RNA", at positions 338 to 795 of the family's 1533-position model. The record is from RNAcentral.